UACGAAGGGGGCUAGCGUUGUUCGGAUUUACUGGGCGUAAAGCGCACGUAGGCGGCUUUCUAAGUCGGGGGUGAAAUCCUGGAGCUCAACUCCAGAACUGCCUUCGAUACUGGAGAGCUCGAGUCCGGGAGAGGUGAGUGGAACUGCGAGUGUAGAGGUGAAAUUCGUAGAUAUUCGCAAGAACACCAGUGGCGAAGGCGGCUCACUGGCCCGGUACUGACGCUGAGGUGCGAAAGCGUGGGGAGCAAACAGG
RNAcentral lists this ribosomal RNA (253 nucleotides) under uncultured bacterium. RNAcentral's name for it is "partial 16S ribosomal RNA". It matches the Rfam family "Bacterial small subunit ribosomal RNA", at positions 524 to 776 of the family's 1533-position model. The record is from RNAcentral.